UACGCCCUAUAACAACUUACCGUGUAAACAAUAGAUAUGGCAGUGAGUAAAAACUGAAAUAAACGAGGGAUAUAGAUAUGAAAGAGUUAUACCCGCCCGCGUCGUUGCGCGCAGAAGUGGAGUGUCUCGAGGGGGCUAACAAAGCAAGCACCAGCAGGCUAGAAUCAUUUUCAGGGUGGAGUGGAGUGGAGUCGGUAACCUAUAAGUGACGUCCAAAGUGGAACAAUAAGAAAAGUGCACACAUACUGACCACCCGGCCAAACAAGCAACCAAAUGAGACACAACCGACCCAUACUACCGCCUUCCCACGCUAACCGGCAAGGAGCGGCUCUCGGGUAACCCGUGUUCGUGUCCUUGGGAUCGGGGUUGGGUGUCGGCGGUGUAAAGGAGUGAAGGAGUAGGUGGGGCCGUGGGGUAGCGAGGGGGAUAGCAGUGGUGCCGGAGGCGGGAUACUAGAGGCGACGGAGUGCGCGCCAGUAGGAGAGUAGAGAGCACGGUGGUGGCGGCUGGGGACGGUUCGGCAACGCCGCGAGAAGGGUUCGGGAGCGGAGGGCAGAGUGGUUCGGGAACUACGGCCGGGGCAGUCGUACGGUUCCACUACGUCGCUGCCGGCGCGAGCUGUGACAGGAAGUAGCCACCCCCAGGUCGCGGACGCCCUCAUUCGUCUUCUCUAACCACCUCGCCGCCUACGCCCGCCCGUCCCAGUCGCCAACCCCUUUCGAGCAGCCGACCUCGUGAUCCUUGCUUCCUAGAGUUCCACCAAGUCCUAAAGGAGAGAAGAUAUGCGUCCCACGACAUUGUGGGGUCCUUCUCUCCCUCUCCCUCUCCUAGGUCUAGCGCGACCCCCUCCUCUCCAACCGAACCUCUCCUUCCUCCUCCUCUACCUAACGUCUCCCUUCCAAUUCUAAGUCUCAUGUUACGUGCGUAUGAGUGUGGGCCGGUGUCCGCCGGUUAAAUUGGGGUGUGUGCGUGCGGUGAACAGACCGGUCGACCGACCCGGGUGGUCGGUCGAGAAUCCGCGUGAUUGGUGACCAAUCCACACUGUAAGGAGGGAGGAAUUCGACACAGGAGUAGAAGAAGCAGUCAUAGCAGCAGCAAGAGGCGGAGGCGGGUGUCACUACGGCAACCUUUCGCCAACGCGUCGUGCAGCACCAGGAGGGUACAGCAGCCGCGCCUCAGCGGCCACGGGGUGACGUGGAACUCGACGUGGUGGCCGUGCAGCGGCGCGAAGUAGUACGGGGACAGGUCCUACGCCCAGCCGUCCUCCAACAGCUGCCUCUCCAGGCCGCGGAACCCUUCAAGUGGCAUGUGGCCGCAUAUCAGCCCCCACUUCCCGAAGUCAACACUGUGCACUUUCUGUCCCACCUGAACCGAAAGACCGCCGUCCAGCUCGAACAUUCGCUCACGCGGUUAGAAGAGCCACUAGAACUUGCCCGGUUUCAUGAAUUUCCGCUCGAACCGCGUCCCCGCUAACUGGUGGCUUGCGACGGGUAUGCCGACCUCGAACUCGUUGUGAACAAGCGGGAGGACUUUCACGGAGAGACACGCCAACGCCAGUCGCAAGAAGAACUUAGCCACGACACGCGCGAGGUCGACACGCGCCACACGCGGCGGGUUAGGUUGAGGAGCGGCCGGCCGCGGCUGAGGCGGGUUCUUCGGUACCGCGGGUCCAAUCGAAGGCACGGCAUCUCCCGGAACUUCCCUCACGGAAACUCACUGCGUACCUUCCACCUUAACAUGGUCUUGAGGCGGUAACCGUCGGUGGCCGCGGUAACCACGCCGCUCAGCACCUGUCGCGUAGCCUCCAUGUAGAGGUACGUGACUAAGUGGGAAAGUGAGACCGGCAGCCAGACUCCCACUAUCCGACAGCUCAUGUUGUCAAACCACGGUCGCGAGCGCUCGUCGAGCGCGAUCUCCACCGAACACUUCUAGAACAGCGCUAGCCUCUGCUACCUGUGGCCUUACGGCACGUCGAAGUGGUGCAAGAGGGUCUUCCGCGCGCCGUGGACGAACCGCAACUUCCCCACCGCCUCUCCCUGUUUCACCCGCUUGAACCACUUCGCCAGCUGCUGGUGGUACUAGCACAGCACAGGAAGCCUCGCGCCAUCGGGGAGGUGCUUCAGGUACCACUCCAGGACGGUACCGCGGCAACCUUACCCGUCGCCCCGCUCCUCCGGGCGGCCGAACUGUACGAGCACGAACCGGACGACCGUGUGCCACGUGACGACGUGCUUGAGCCGCUGCAGCGCGAACUCCGGCGCGGUCAGCUUCACAAACACGUGCGCGACCAUCCACCGUCACCUCGGCCUCACUGGUGGGUGGCGUGACGUCACGUCGCGCCGCUACUCGAACCACGCGUCCCGGCUUAACCGGGGCUAGGUCUCCGCGGGGACCGCGGACUACUACGGUGCCAUCUCGAGCAUCGGGAUUAGCAGGCCCGACACCUAGCGGUCAACAACGUCAGCAAGGACCCGCAAUCGCAGUCACCGUAUACUCAACCGGUGGAGGACGUGGGUCAACCCGACCGUGCAGCUCUCGCGCCGGUCAAGCUUGACAAACGGGUGAGCGCUCUCGCGCAGUCGACGCGGCAACAGGUCGGGGGAAGACAUGACUUUUGCCUUGACAUUAGGGUGGUCGAAGCGGUACCGGAACGCGACCUCGAGACAGAGGUCCACAACAAGCGGAUCUAAUGUCUCUCUAAACACUAGGCACUACUACAGCUUCCCCGGCGCGACGUUCAUGACUGCGGUGAACAGCUGCCGGUAGUAGUGCCGCUCCUUAAGGAAGAGUAUUCACCUAUCGAAGACCAACGCUUGCGGCUCGCGGAACGACUUCAUACGCUGGCCCACGGGUAGGACGCGCUCGUGGCGCGGGUGCGGGCACAGCGUCCGCAGACAGGGCUAGCACUUGCCGGCGCGUUUAAGACCAUCCCGUUCCUGACCGCACCACUGGUAGCUAACGAACUCGCAGAGCUUGCGACGAACACGAACGCGGCAGGUCUUCUUCGGGAAGAAGCAGUCGUCGACACACUCACCGAAGCGCUACUACGGUAUCACACCCUGCUUGAAGGACAUCAUCGGGCACUCCGGCUCCUUCGGCGUGUCGAGGCACCGCAAGCAGCCACAGCCGGUGACUAGGUACCGGAUGCAGAAGAGGAAUAGACACCGGUACGGGAGGAACCUCUAGUGUACUGGGUCCAUCAGCUACACUAGGCGUCGAUUUCACGUGAACCUAAGGAACUGCUUUUCGACCACACGGGCCUCGUCGAGCUUCUGUUACGCGUCCACAAGGUCCACGAGGAGGUACCAAAGUGACUUCUCUUCCUAUAGCAGUUCCUUCUACUACUGCUUGAACGCCUGUAUGAAUGGUUUGUACCUCAAGUAGUCCGUGACUUUACACCGUCCGCGCAAGCAGUCCGGCUUGCCGUACUGAGACUUGACUUUCACAGGUACCACGCAGAACUUACGGCAGAACUCGAGCAGGAGAAGGGCGUAAGACUAAACCACCAUUGGUCGCGCGUUCAGGUCGAACCUCUUGUGACGACGCGGCCGGUUAAGUAGGUCCUCAAGCAGUUACUAUCCUUCCCCUUUGAACAAGAACUACCACCGCAGCAACUCGGCCGCUAUCAGCUGCGUCUUGGCGGUUCACGGCAGGAAGAAGUGCUCGUCGUGGCCGCGCCGUAUACCUGACUGCGACACGCACUAGUGCGGGCUUAGGUCGUAGAGGAAUUGGACUGCGAGCUAAAGCAGGAAGACGUCUCCGCUCAUCGCUAUGCCCGCGCACAAGCGCCCCUGGCGCGGGAGGUGGUCGCACUGCUGCACCAGCAUGACAGCCACGCCUCCCUCGGGAAAGCCACGGCGCUUGUGCAGCCGCUUGAGGAGCUCAUCCAGCCGCUCGCCCCAAACCGAACGUGUGAACGCUCGGCCAGCGCCGCGCGGCAACGUACACAGGUGGUACCGGUACCGGGUUUGCAGCAAAGGCCGGUGGUAGAACGCGUCGAGAAGCCCAGGAUGCCGGAACUACCUCCACCGGCCGAACCACCUGUGCGGCGCGUCCCAUUGAAGACGCGGCAGCACGACCUUAAAGUGGGUGAACAGAACGGUCACCGUACAGUAGCCUGACAAGACCCGCUCGGUCAGGUACGGGUCUUACGGUAGCAUGCGCGGCUAGAGGUCAAGCACGUACCCGCACAACUUCCACACUGGGACGUAGGUGGUGAACUCCGGCCCGUGGGACGCGCACGUGCACUCGAACAGCGGUAACCGGUGGGCGUGGAGGCAACCGCCGUAAAGAAGGCACCGCUCCGGCUCCGCUAGCUGCUUCCGGAACAACUGCUUUGACACCCACGACGAACUCAGCUCGUUGUCCUCGUACUGGACCAAGGGCUGCUCCCGCGCGUUGGCCUAGCAGCAACACCUCAGACACGGCAGCUCGCGGACCCUGCUCUCCUCCGUCGUGAGACCGCGCAGGCGCCGGCCUCGUCCUCUAACGCGGCGACCGGGGCCUAGCAGCUCGUCAACGUUCCGCACCUACCACAGCAGCCUAUCGUGGAGAGGCACCAGCGGGUGCAACUACCACUCGUUGACGCGCCCGACCCGCGUCGCUACGAGAGACCUCAUGGCUAGGGGUGUGAACUUUGUCUCCAACAAGCGAGCCGCCUUCAGCGCGUCGACGGAGAGGGCGCGCAUGAGCAGGGGAACCCGUGCGCGGCCGCGCCGGUGCCGCGCGACACCGCGCCGGCGCCGUCGACAGCCACCACCAGCCGGUCGCCCACACUACGCCCCCGCACGUGCCAUGCACGGGUCAAGAAGGAGGACAUACGCGCGCUCGUGGCUCCGCGCGCACUACGAACUGCCGCGGACCUCGGCGUGGCCCCGUGCGUCAAGCAGGAAGUCCGGCUCCUCCUUAACGCACUGCUUCUUGAACCACAACUACCUGCCUAGCUCACGCUCGUUCACCAUGUAGACGAGCAGCUUCCGUCGUGCCAUGAGCCGCUGCCACGGACAGACGGCCUCAACGUCCUCGAACACGUAGUGGUAGAGCUUGAGCAGCCGCGGUUUGAGGAGGUCCUAGCGGCUACAUUUGUGCAGGGUACACUACAACACUACGCUAACCGCCUUGCGAACCUCGGUCACACGACGGACCGGCAGCUACAUCUCGCGCCGCCACCGCUGGGUGACCACACGUCGGUUGAACAUCUCGAGCUUCAUCCGCUCCGUCGCCAGGUCGGUAUUCAUGCCGCGGCAAGGCAGCUUGAACCCCUUUGGUACAAAGCCCCCGAACACCAUGAGCAACCUCACCAUCGGGCCGCCUCUGCGCCAGCCUCGCCGCUGCUUGGGAGGGACACCGCCGUGGCCUUCCUCCCCUCCCGCCACUAGCGGGUCCGCGCGCACGCUGCUGCUGCCGGCCAUGCCUAGGCCUCCGCCACCCCCAACGACGCCAACGCGCCCGACCACCUACACGCACCACUGGCUCGGACUACCUCUCCUAGGAAGGCAGCAGAACGCGCACUCCAGCUCCAGGCGGACGCAGUCUAGCUCGACGGCGCGAUCCGGCGCGUAGAGAACGCUCUAGACGCGCAACUUCCGCCGGACCUCGAGCUAGGCGAAGAGCACUCAGCGGAAGACUAGCAGCUAGAACCGCUCGUCGCUGAGGUCGUAGAACCACUACAACCACAAGGGGAGCAGGUACCGCCGGUCGUGAACGGCGCAGCGGCGUCUUCGGAACCUUCAUCGGCAGCAGGACGAGCUCUCCCGCAGCUUAGGGCGCUGCCUAAAACACACCAAGCGGCCUCGUUCGGUGUGGCCGCGCCACCUACAAUGACUGGGGGUUUGUUCACUCCUUGUUUUAAAAAGCCUUCUAAACCACCGAGACUAAUGGUCAACAUUGUGGGGUCCUUCUCUCCCUCUCCCUCUCCUAGGUCUAGCGCGACCCCCUGCUCUCCAACCGAACCUCUCCUUCCUCCUCCUCUACCUAACGUCUCCCUUCUAAUUCUAAGUCUCAUGUUACGUGCGUAUGAGUGUGGGCCGGUGUCCGCCGGUUAAAUUGGGGUGUGUGCGUGCGGUGAACAGACCGGUCGACCGACCCGGGUGGUCGGUCGAGAAUCCGCGUGAUUGGUGACCAAUCCACACUGUCCACGUGUCCAGUCCUCCGGUUUCGAUAAACUGUACUAUUAUGGUAAGUCCGUCCUACCUCCACCACGUGUAUCUGCUCCUGUCGUCGCUGUCCGUUUCUCCAAUAUGUCGUCCCAAGUGCUACGUAAGCUUAAGCGGGUUACAUACACGAACCCGAAACAAAACUAACUACCUGGAAUUUCGACUUCGUAAUUACGUACUUGAACGGUUUACCUACCUCGUUGUCCGUAUCUUCUUUAGGUGUUGGUUAAAAAGAACCGACGCGGUAGAAGGCGACUGUCAUUGAGAUGUGUUGUCGGACGAUUCUAGCAAAGAUCCACUACGACUACUUAGUACAUUCCUACCGCGUAUUGAGUGGUCUCCCUUUUCUAGCUUGAUGCCAUUGGUUUAGUUUGUCUUCUCUUCCAGGUCAACAGCAACGGAAGUGAACGAAACAGCAAAUGGCUAGACAAUCCAACGGCCAAGGGGCUGAACGAUAGUUCCUCUCCCCUCUCUUUAUACCUAACCCUAAGAUCCAUUUGAAAUGAAUUAAACAACGUCUUUUACGAGCCAUCUACAGUAAAUACCUACUCCAACACCGUCAUCAAGAGCCCACAACAGAGAUAGAACUAUUUCGGAAGAUAGUCCCGCGUAAUCUCCGACUUCUUAUCUUUUGUAAACCCCAAAGACACCGUAACUUGUAAGUUGCAAAUACAUGAUACAUGUACGUGCCGGUACGUGCUGGUCAAGUCAUUGAUCUACCGGAAAAGAUGACAUGGCCAAGACGAUGAAAAGUGUACAAUUGAAGAAACUUUUCGCGGUUGUCACACAGGGUGUACAUUUAUCAGGGUACAAUGUUUCUUGUAUUGGUCUUCACACCCCUACUACAUAAUUACCAGCCAGUCCCUUAAGUCAGACCUACUCGAAUUGAUUACUGUAUACACUCAACUCGUACUCCAGUAAAACUUUCAUUGUCUUCAUAAAAUGAAAGGAAAAGUACACCCACCAGCUGCCUUGUAUAUACAAAAUAAUCUAAUAGUCUCCUGUUGUAUAUUUUCAAUAUUUGUUAGUUUCGUCUCAUCCCGUAAAACCUCUGGUUCGAGGUACCUCGGGAAAUAAAACUUAUUAAGUUUGAAGUAUUAAAAUCAAAGUUUUUAAGACUUUUUUUAUGUGUACAUAAGCGCCUACAUUUCACAUACACACUUUUUUAAGUCCUACUUUAUGGAACUUAACGCUCGACAUCUUUUUUUGGUUUUAACAC
This 7374-nucleotide ribosomal RNA is filed under the name Triticum aestivum (bread wheat). RNAcentral's name for it is "partial small subunit ribosomal RNA". Lineage: Eukaryota; Viridiplantae; Streptophyta; Magnoliopsida; Poales; Poaceae. The record is from RNAcentral.